RNAcentral lists this ribosomal RNA (497 nucleotides) under uncultured bacterium. RNAcentral describes it as "partial 16S ribosomal RNA". It matches the Rfam family "Bacterial small subunit ribosomal RNA", at positions 28 to 507 of the family's 1533-position model. The record is from RNAcentral.
GAUGAACGCUGGCGGCGUGCCUAAUACAUGCAAGUCGAGCGAACAGACGAGGAGCUUGCUCCUCUGACGUUAGCGGCGGACGGGUGAGUAACACGUGGAUAACCUACCUAUAAGACUGGGAUAACUUCGGGAAACCGGAGCUAAUACCGGAUAAUAUAUUGAACCGCAUGGUUUAAUAGUGAAAGACGGUUUUGCUGUCACUUAUAGAUGGAUCCGCGCCGCAUUAGCUAGUUGGUAAGGUAACGGCUUACCAAGGCAACGAUGCGUAGCCGACCUGAGAGGGUGAUCGGCCACACUGGAACUGAGACACGGUCCAGACUCCUACGGGAGGCAGCAGUAGGGAAUCUUCCGCAAUGGGCGAAAGCCUGACGGAGCAACGCCGCGUGAGUGAUGAAGGUCUUCGGAUCGUAAAACUCUGUUAUUAGGGAAGAACAAAUGUGUAAGUAACUAUGCACGUCUUGACGGUACCUAAUCAGAAGGCCACGGCUAACUACGUG